GGGUUCCGCUUGACUCUGCAUUCUCCUACUUCCCUGCCUGCUUACUCUCUGCCAUCAUAGUUUUUUGCUUCAACCUUCAAAUGUAGCCAUUCUUUUUCUAAAGCGGUACUUAUUCUCUUUAUUAGUUAAAAUUAUUAAUUUUAUGCACUUACUGUUCUAGCUCCAAUUUUGCAUUUCCAGUUCCCUGCUGGGAAUAAAUUAAAUUGGCAGAAGCUCAGUCUAAGUGCCUGCAACAGAAUUUGUCCCAUAUCCAUACAACUUGCUCCUCCACAACAAAUGGGAGAAUCAUCCUCUUACCUCCAGCACCUGCCUCAAACAAAGUUUCUGAUCCAUCUACCACGUAACUUUGACGCUGACCAAGAAUUACAGCUUCAAAGAAAUCAUUCGAGGAUCAUUAAUAUCUUGGUCAUGAAUAACUUUUAUGUGAAAGGCUCUGCAGCUAAUCUCAAGUGCAGUGAACUCUGUUUCAUUACUGUAUUUCCAAAUUUAGAGUUAUUUGGGUUGUAUAUAGGUCAGAUAAUUUACUUUUUUGUUUUCAACCUAA
Molecule: long non-coding RNA, 544 nt
Filed under: Homo sapiens (human)
Lineage: Eukaryota; Metazoa; Chordata; Mammalia; Primates; Hominidae
Description: non-protein coding MLIP-AS1:3
Source: RNAcentral